Long non-coding RNA from Glycine soja, 1323 nucleotides. RefSeq lists it as uncharacterized. The record is from RefSeq and is a predicted model, not a curated record. The transcript has 3 exons. Lineage: Eukaryota; Viridiplantae; Streptophyta; Magnoliopsida; Fabales; Fabaceae.
UAUUAUAUGGUUCAGUAUGAAAAGAUAUUGAAGUUUAUCUCGAAUGCUAAGAGUGAGGGUGCAACCAUUUUGACCGGUGGGUCUCACCCGGAGCAUCUAAAGAAGGGAUUCUUUGUUGAACCAACUGUCAUAACUGACGUGACUACCUCCAUGCAAAUUUGGAGAGAAGAAGUAUCUGGACCUGUUCUGUGUAAAAACAUUUAGCACUGAAGAAGAAGCCAUUGAUCUAGCAAACGACACUGUGUGAGUUGAUGGUUUUCUGUGAACUGACAUUAACUUCCUCUGUUUUUAAGGCUGGGAUUGUGUGGAUUAAUUGCUCUAAACCGUGCUUCACUCAAGCACCAUGGGGAGGCAUUAAACGCAGUGGUUUUGGUCGUGAAUUAGGAGAAUGGUAUGGUCCUUAUUUCCUAAAUUAACAAAUGCAAGUAACCUCAGAUACCUUUCUUUUCUUUUCCUGGAUAUAAUGUCUAACAUGCAAAAGAAACCUACAUUUAUAAGUUGAAGUCAUGGAUUGUUGAAUGCUCAAGUACCGCUCAACUGUUGACAGUUUGUUGACCAUCAGAUUUUGUACAACCAAAUUCAAUCAAGGGUCGAUAAAGCUGUGUAAGUUGUAACAUCGUGGCACUGGUGCAGCCUUUGCACUUUUUAAUUGGAGUCAUUUUAAAUCAUAGGGAUUGUGAUGUAUUGACACAUUUAAAUUAAUAAUCUUAAUAUAAAAAAAAAUCACCUACGGUUUGAGUGAUUUAUCCUAAUUUGGCAUGUUCCUCUGCAACCACACCUGUGAAGCCAUGAAGCCAUCACACGACCCAUUCUUCAUUCCAACGAAAAAUAGUUUGGACAAAAGCUAGCAGUGCCAUCGGAGGUGGCGGCAUUCAACGGGAAUGUGAGCGGUGGGAUAUUUGAUGAGUAGUGUAGUCAUAAUGAGCGGUGGCGGAGGAAAAGGAGUGUGUGCAGCGGAAGAAAGAGUGUGACGGUGGCAAAGAUUUGUUAGACUUGCUGUGGAGUUUUCUAUCGGGGUCAUCAGAGGUGGCAAUGUUUACAGAGGCUAUUUCAUCUCGAGGCAGCAGAGGAGGAAUGCGACAAUGGCAAAGAGGGUAAGUGAAGAGUGUGUGCGGCGUCGUGAAGAGGAGAAUGACCACAAAAAAGAAAAAGAAAGAUUGUGAGUAAAACAUAAAAUUUAUAUUACUAGAAUUUCCAAAAAUACUAAAUCCGUUUUCUGAAUUUGAAAAUAAAAAUAUCAAAUCAAACUUAUUUUCUCUCCUAUUUUCUAUUUUCUUUGAAAAUGAAAAUAGAAAAUGCACAAGCCAAGCACCAUGAAGUUUU